CGGUGCGCUCCCCGCCGAGGCUCCCCUCGACGCCUGGGCCGCCGCGCAACCGCACUGGAGCGGCUUCUCCCGCUGCCGUCUUCGCGCAGAUAAUGUCUGUGCCUAUCAGAUAAAGGCAAACCAGUGCUCAGAGGAACCCAACCAUCUCUGAAUUGAGACCAGAGAGCUGUCUCUAUGGAUAGUCCUUAGAGAAGGCAUUUCGGAACACAGUAAACAGCAGCCUGGUGACUCCGAUUACAGGGCCAGUUGCCUUUGUUACAAUAAAAGCAAGUCAUCUACACAGAUUUUUCCUACCAGGAAGAGCAUGUGCUGACCAACAGACAUGAAUUUCAGCCUGGUAGUUACAACAUUCACAGUAUACCCACAUCACUAAGCUGGGAGGCACAUUUUGAGACCCAGAAUCCUGACACCUCCAUGCCUUCAAAAGGAUGAGCAGAUUCAUGUAUGACCAGAAUGUAAACCAGGAUCACAGAGCAGCCGGAGAGGUGGUGACAGAACCAUCGAUGGAACCCUGGGCUCCAGGUUCUGACUCCUAUUUUCACUCACUAAUUUUUUUUUUUUGAGAUGGAGUCUUGCUCUGUCGCCAGGCUGGAGUAGAGUGGCAC
RNAcentral lists this long non-coding RNA (605 nucleotides) under Homo sapiens (human). RNAcentral describes it as "HSALNT0301395". Lineage: Eukaryota; Metazoa; Chordata; Mammalia; Primates; Hominidae. The record is from RNAcentral.